GACGAACGCUGGCGGCGUGCCUAAUACAUGCAAGUAGAACGCUGAAGAGAGGAGCUUACUCUUCUUGGAUGAGUUGCGAACGGGUGAGUAACGCGUAGGUAACCUGCCUUGUAGCGGGGGAUAACUAUUGGAAACGAUAGCUAAUACCGCAUAACAAUGGAUGACACAUGUCAUUUAUUUGAAAGGGGCAAUUGCUCCACUACAAGAUGGACCUGCGUUGUAUUAGCUAGUAGGUGAGGUAAUGGCUCACCUAGGCGACGAUACAUAGCCGACCUGAGAGGGUGAUCGGCCACACUGGGACUGAGACACGGCCCAGACUCCUACGGGAGGCAGCAGUAGGGAAUCGUCGGCAAUGGGGGCAACCCUGACCGAGCAACGCCGCGUGAGGGAAGAAGGUUUUCGGAUCGUAAAGCUCGGUUGUAAGUCAAGAACGGGUGUGAGAGUGGAAAGUUCACACUGUGACGGUAGCUUACCAGAAAGGGACGGCUAACUACGUG
RNAcentral lists this ribosomal RNA (497 nucleotides) under uncultured bacterium. Its description in RNAcentral is "partial 16S ribosomal RNA". It matches the Rfam family "Bacterial small subunit ribosomal RNA", at positions 28 to 507 of the family's 1533-position model. The record is from RNAcentral.